This 497-nucleotide ribosomal RNA is filed under the name uncultured bacterium. RNAcentral describes it as "partial 16S ribosomal RNA". It matches the Rfam family "Bacterial small subunit ribosomal RNA", at positions 28 to 507 of the family's 1533-position model. The record is from RNAcentral.
GACGAACGCUGGCGGCGUGCCUAAUACAUGCAAGUUGAGCGCUGAAGGUUGGUACUUGUACCAACUGGAUGAGCAGCGAACGGGUGAGUAACGCGUGGGGAAUCUGCCUAUGAGCGGGGGACAACAUUUGGAAACGAAUGCUAAUACCGCAUAAAAACUUUAAACACAAGUUUUAAGUUUGAAAGAUGCAAUUGCAUCACUCAAAGAUGAUCCCGCGUUGUAUUAGCUAGUUGGUGAGGUAAAGGCUCACCAAGGCGAUGAUACAUAGCCGACCUGAGAGGGUGAUCGGCCACAUUGGGACUGAGACACGGCCCAAACUCCUACGGGAGGCAGCAGUAGGGAAUCUUCGGCAAUGGACGAAAGUCUGACCGAGCAACGCCGCGUGAGUGAAGAAGGUUUUCGGAUCGUAAAACUCUGUCGGUAGAGAAGAACGUUGGUGAGAGUGGAAAGCUCAUCAAGUGACGGUAACUACCCAGAAAGGGACGGCUAACUACGUG